GACGAACGCUGGCGGCGCGCUUAACACAUGCAAGUCGAACGGAAAGGCCUGCUUUCCCUUGUGGAUUGCGGGUACUCGAGUGGCGAACGGGUGAGUAACACGUGAGUGAUCUGCCCCCAACUUGGGUAUAAGCCUGGGAAACUGGGUCUAAUUCCCGAUAGGACUGCAGGGUGGUGCCUGUGGUGGAAAACGAUUUUCUAGUGGUUGGGGAUGAGCUCGCGGCCUAUCAGCUUGUUGGUGGGGUAAUGGCCUACCAAGGCGGCGACGGGUAGCCGGCCUGGGAGGGUGGACGGCCACAUUGGGACUGAGAUACGGCCCAGACUCCUACGGGAGGCAGCAGUGGGGAAUAUUGCACAAUGGGCGGAAGCCUGAUGCAGCGACGCCGCGUGGGGGAUGACGGCCUUCGGGUUGUAAACUCCUUUCGACCGCGAGGAAGCCACCUGGUUGGAAGGGUGGUGACGGUAGUGGUAGAAGAAGCACCGGCUAACAACGUG
This 494-nucleotide ribosomal RNA is filed under the name uncultured bacterium. RNAcentral's name for it is "partial 16S ribosomal RNA". It matches the Rfam family "Bacterial small subunit ribosomal RNA", at positions 28 to 507 of the family's 1533-position model. The record is from RNAcentral.